Long non-coding RNA from Notothenia coriiceps (black rockcod), 385 nucleotides. RefSeq lists it as uncharacterized. NCBI's taxonomy places the organism in Eukaryota, Metazoa, Chordata, Actinopteri, Perciformes, Nototheniidae. The record is from RefSeq and is a predicted model, not a curated record. The transcript has 2 exons.
AUUGGGGACUGAAUGGGAAAAUGUUCCCUAGCUCUUGGUCCGGGUUCCAUUGAAUCCUAACCUGUAUAUCUUAUGCAUACACUUCUCCAAUGUGGGACUUCAAUUAAGAUUCCCUCUGUUUAUCUUCAGGAUCUGUAACAGUGGUUCCUUCUGGAGGCCUCUGGUAAUCCUUGCAGGCCGCGGGAGCUGCUGCAGCGAGGCGAGGGGCCCCCCGAACAGACCCAGAGGGAUGACCGUGGAGAAGGAGUUCGCUCUGCUCUUUUAUGGUGCCAUGACGAAAACCAAGUCUGGUAACUUUGGACGAGAAACAUCAAAAACAUACUCGGUGGCUGGACCCUCCGAUACCUUAACACUAGGAUGAAGACUUUUGAGGAGAGCAAACAAG